Molecule: long non-coding RNA, 1002 nt
Organism: Megachile rotundata (alfalfa leafcutting bee)
Lineage: Eukaryota; Metazoa; Arthropoda; Insecta; Hymenoptera; Megachilidae
Source: RefSeq, a predicted model, not a curated record
AAGGCGAUCGUUGUAUAAUUGGCGUUAGACGCAGAACUCGUGAGCAAUCGAUAAUUAUUAUUUUUACUCUGAGCGUGAGUCCAUUCAGUUAUUGUUGAUCAACAGUUAAGCAAAAAUAUAAUUGGAAGAAGAGCAUAUAAAUUAAAGAGACUUGCUCUCCCGUGUUAAUCGACGAAAGAUAUCGGACCAAAUUUUUUAUUAACACGGGGCGGUAAUUACUGUAACGUGUCGAAUGUCAGUCAUCUGGAAGAUGACACAACAGGAAGUAGCUUGUAACGUUUCACGAGGCUCGUUCGACUUUAUUCGGAAUUGUCAUCGAAGUCAUAUCUCUUGAAACGCUGCUACAUGAUCGAUAAUGAAUAUUAAUCGCGUAAAACGGAGCGUAGGAAGUGCAACACUUAGAAACAGGCAUUUCAAAACGUACAAUGUAGGUCAUACAUAUUCAACAAAGUGUAGCUAGAACUGAUUGGAUACUUUGACGUCCCAUCUAAUUAGAAACACACGGAGCGCUGUUUAAUGAGAAUAAAUUACAUCGAUCACUGCAAACACGGUUUGCUAUUAAAUCGCUGCAGAAUAUCCCGUGUGAAUAAGACGUAGAACUAUGCCUGGAUAUUUUUACGAGUGACGACGACCAAGAUGCCUUGAACAAAAGGAACAACGCAUCGCUGAUUGAUUUAUUCGUUCUUCGGUAUUCAAGACGGAAAGAUUUAUAACUCCUGAUACCACAUUAGCAACCAUUCAUCCUGCUCGCUAUCAAGAAUUGUCCGUUCAGUAACACAACUUGCGACUCAAUCACAUUCAGCUCCAUAAGUUCUACAGGUUACAUUCGGUGGAUCAAUGCAACAGCAAACAGCAUAUGCGUUACUAAAUAUUAGUACUAGCUUUAGCAUUUCAUUAUGUAUAAGUUAGUUAACAAUUAUAGAAAAGUGUAACGUAUUUAAUUGUUAGUUUUGUAUCUUUAGUUAAGGUUACUAGUUAUAUAAGAAAUUAUGUAUUUAAUUA